AUGAACGCUGGCGGCGUGCCUAAUACAUGCAAGUCGAGCGAACAGAUGAGGAGCUUGCUCCUCUGACGUUAGCGGCGGACGGGUGAGUAACACGUGGAUAACCUACCUAUAAGACUGGGAUAACUACGGGAAACCGGAGCUAAUACCGGAUAAUAUAUUGAACCGCAUGGUUCAAUAGUGAAAGACGGUUUUGCUGUCACUUAUAGAUGGAUCCGCGCCGCAUUAGCUAGUUGGUAAGGUAACGGCUUACCAAGGCAACGAUGCGUAGCCGACCUGAGAGGGUGAUCGGCCACACUGGAACUGAGACACGGUCCAGACUCCUACGGGAGGCAGCAGUAGGGAAUCUUCCGCAAUGGGCGAAAGCCUGACGGAGCAACGCCGCGUGAGUGAUGAAGGUCUUCGGAUCGUAAAACUCUGUUAUUAGGGAAGAACAAAUGUGUAAGUAACUAUGUACGUCUUGACGGUACCUAAUCAGAAAGCCACGGCUAACUACGUG
Molecule: ribosomal RNA, 496 nt
Filed under: uncultured bacterium
Lineage: Bacteria
Description: partial 16S ribosomal RNA
Rfam family: Bacterial small subunit ribosomal RNA
Source: RNAcentral